This 353-nucleotide unclassified non-coding RNA is filed under the name soil metagenome. RNAcentral describes it as "partial contains 5.8S ribosomal RNA, internal transcribed spacer 2, and large subunit ribosomal RNA". The stretch from base 1 to 120 matches the Rfam family "5.8S ribosomal RNA", at positions 35 to 154 of the family's 154-position model. The record is from RNAcentral.
GAUGAAGAACGUAGCGAAAUGCGAUAAGUAAUGUGAAUUGCAGAAUUCAGUGAAUCAUCGAAUCUUUGAACGCACAUUGCGCCUGCCAGUACUCUGGCGGGCAUGCCUGUCCGAGCGUCAUUUCAACCCUCGAACCCCUCCGGGGGGUCGGCGUUGGGGAUCGGCCCUUUCACCGGGUGCCGUCCCCCAAAUACAGUGGCGGUCUCGCCGCAGCCUCUCAUGCGCAGUAGUUUGCACACUCGCACCGCGAGCGCGGCGCGUCCACGUCCGUAAAACACCCCAAACUUCUGAAAUGUUGACCUCGGAUCAGGUAGGAAUACCCGCUGAACUUAAGCAUAUCAAUAAGCGGAGGA